Molecule: long non-coding RNA, 255 nt
Filed under: Lotus japonicus
Lineage: Eukaryota; Viridiplantae; Streptophyta; Magnoliopsida; Fabales; Fabaceae
Description: long non-coding RNA (LJAP_LNC000352)
Source: RNAcentral
GAACCCUUCCAUAUACCCUGCGCCUAAAGUUUUGCAGCUAUUACAUAGGAAUAAAGAUCAAGAGUAAUACAUAGUUAUAUAAGUUUAAGUUAUGUUGGUUCUAUUGUACUAGUUUUGUGAGAUCUCAGUAACUGCAAAGCCAGUUCCUGAGUUAGUAGUGGCGAGUUUAUAUUUAUUUUGUUUAUUGAGAGAGUAUGUUGAUGUUAUAUCAGUGCGAUGUAUUAGAGAAUCCUUCGGGUUUUCCUGUGCUAUUAG